This is a long non-coding RNA of Cryptotermes secundus, 721 nucleotides long. RefSeq lists it as uncharacterized. The transcript is spliced from 5 exons. Lineage: Eukaryota; Metazoa; Arthropoda; Insecta; Blattodea; Kalotermitidae. The record is from RefSeq and is a predicted model, not a curated record.
GCAAAAUACAGCCGAAAACCAACUCCUAUAACACACAGAAUAAUGGAAGGAAAAACAGAGAGCGAUCGCGGAUGACACAGCAAGGGGAUACUACUGUUUCGGAUUCAACGGCCAAGAGGAGGGCGAGUAAAGGAGAACAGAUCGAAAGGGAGAGAAGAGGUAAUCAGAUAUCUUACGGCCGGAUAAAAGUGACAUCGGCAGCAAAUGCCAUGAGUGCCUCAUUCAAGCCGGAAUGUCGAGGCUCCUCGAGCAAGCGGCCCACAGGAAGUCGUCUUAUUCUGCACUAUCCUAUCCCCGAUUGUAUUAAAGUAAAGCCCAAAACAAACUCAUAUACUACACCAAAAAAUGGAAGCUGAAACAGAGAGCGAUCGCGGUCGAAUACGUCAACUCGAAUGACAGAGCAAGGGGAUACUACUGUUUCGGAUUCAACGGCCAAGAGGAGGGCGAAUAAAGGAGAGCAGAGCAAUCGGAGGGAAGAGGUAAACAGAAUUUGGAUGGCCAGGAAAGAUUGGAGACGGCAGUGAAUGCCGUGAAUACCUCAGUGAAGAAGGAAUCUCCCGGAUCCUCGAUCAAGAAUCUCUAUCGACGCUUUACUAUUCUGCACUAUUCCAUGCCCCAUAAGAUGCGGAUUGCUCCCUUCUAUCUGACCCACGCAACAUGCUACCACACCACUCACCACUCUGUUUUUCCUUCCAUUAUUCUGUGUGUUAUAGGAGUUGGU